This 319-nucleotide RNase P RNA is filed under the name Salinarchaeum sp. IM2453. RNAcentral's name for it is "Archaeal RNase P". It matches the Rfam family "Archaeal RNase P". Rfam says of the family: Ribonuclease P (RNase P) is a ubiquitous endoribonuclease, found in archaea, bacteria and eukarya as well as chloroplasts and mitochondria. Its best characterised activity is the generation of mature 5'-ends of tRNAs by cleaving the 5'-leader elements of precursor-tRNAs. The record is from Rfam by way of RNAcentral. Lineage: Archaea; Methanobacteriati; Methanobacteriota; Halobacteria; Halobacteriales; Natronoarchaeaceae.
UGGAGAGAAAGCAUGGCUUCCGCGGGUAUCACUCGAUACGCGUGAGGAAAGUCCCCCCACCGCCAAGCGGGUGGCCAGGCACAAGCCUGGGGCAGGAGACUGCCGGCUCUGGAACAGAAACGACACGUCUUCCCGUAACCAAUGAGGCUUGCGAACGACUCCGAAAGGAUCAGGAGCUAACCAGCCGAGGAUAGAUCAGGAAGGAUCGAUGGAACGGCGAAACCCCACUGGUGCAAGUCGGCGCCAAAAAGGUAGCUUGGCAGUGGUGCCGACGCUUAGCUAAAUGCCAAAAACAGAAGGGGGCUUACUCUUCUCACCA